UGGGGAAUUUUGGACAAUGGGGGAAACCCUGAUCCAGCCAUCCCGCGUGUGCGAUGAAGGCCUUCGGGUUGUAAAGCACUUUUGGCAGGAAAGAAACGUCGCGGGUUAAUACCCCGCGAAACUGACGGUACCUGCAGAAUAAGCACCGGCUAACUACGUGCCAGCAGCCGCGGUAAUACGUAGGGUGCAAGCGUUAAUCGGAAUUACUGGGCGUAAAGCGUGCGCAGGCGGUUCGGAAAGAAAGAUGUGAAAUCCCAGAGCUUAACUUUGGAACUGCAUUUUUAACUACCGGGCUAGAGUGUGUCAGAGGGAGGUGGAAUUCCGCGUGUAGCAGUGAAAUGCGUAGAUAUGCGGAGGAACACCGAUGGCGAAGGCAGCCUCCUGGGAUAACACUGACGCUCAUGCACGAAAGCGUGGGGAGCAAACAGGAUUAGAUACCCUGGUAGUCCACGCCCUAAACGAUGUCAACUAGCUGUUGGGGCCUUCGGGCCUUGGUAGCGCAGCUAACGCGUGAAGUUGACCGCCUGGGGAGUACGGUCGCAAGAUUAAACUCAAAGGAAUUGACGGGGUCGA
RNAcentral lists this ribosomal RNA (573 nucleotides) under uncultured bacterium. Its description in RNAcentral is "partial 16S ribosomal RNA". It matches the Rfam family "Bacterial small subunit ribosomal RNA", at positions 355 to 922 of the family's 1533-position model. The record is from RNAcentral.